Molecule: ribosomal RNA, 489 nt
Filed under: uncultured bacterium
Lineage: Bacteria
Description: bacterial SSU rRNA
Rfam family: Bacterial small subunit ribosomal RNA
Source: RNAcentral
GACUUUAUCGGUCUCCGAAUGCUCUCAGAUUAGUAGUUUGAUCAUGGCUCAGAUUGAACGCUGGCGGCAUGCCUUACACAUGCAAGUCGAACGGUAACAGGUCUUCGGACGCUGACGAGUGGCGAACGGGUGAGUAAUACAUCGGAACGUGCCCAGUCGUGGGGGAUAACUACUCGAAAGAGUAGCUAAUACCGCAUACGAUCUGAGGAUGAAAGCGGGGGACCUUCGGGCCUCGCGCGAUUGGAGCGGCCGAUGGCAGAUUAGGUAGUUUGGUGGGAUAAAAGCUUACCAAGCCGACGAUCUGUAGCUGGUCUGAGAGGACGACCAGCCACACUGGGACUGAGACACGGCCCAGACUCCUACGGGAGGCAGCAGUGGGGAAUUUUGGACAAUGGGCGAAAGCCUGAUCCAGCAAUGCCGCGUGCAGGAUGAAGGCCUUCGGGUUGUAAACUGCUUUUGUACGGAACGAAAAAGCUCCUUCUAAUACAG